AGGUGUUAUCACCUCCUGAAUUCUUGACUUUGCGGAAUAAGGUUCAGCAGCUGGAGGAAUGGUUGAGGGACUCUGGCUCUCAUCCGCAGUGGUCACUGCUAUCAAGAGGGGCAACUGAAGAAGAGCAGAGUACGGCGCAGUCUGAGAUAAACACAUUUGGGAAUAUUAUCAGUGAUCUUAAACUUGCCAUUUCCAAUGCAGAAAGUAGAACACAAAAGGCUGAAACAAGGUGUACACAGCUCAAUCAAACUAAUGUUCAGCUUACUGGGGAGCUGAACUCUCUUAAAGUUCAGGGGUCAGAUAGGGCUGGCUUAUUGGAGACAAAACUGAAGGAAUCAGACACUCAAUUGGAGCAUGCAAGAGCAUCAGUUGAUGCUAUUGUUGAACAACAGGGAAUGCUAAGAUCUUCAAUGUCUGAUAUGGAACAGAUGAUUGAAGAUCUGAAGGAAAAGUAUUUGAAAGCUGAAACCAGGGCUGAGAAUGCUGAGUCCAAAUGUUCAUUGUUGACAGACACUAAUUUAGAGCUUAGUGAAGAGCUGUCGUUUCUGAGAGGUCGAGUAGAAAGUCUAGAAAACUCAUUGCAUCAAGCCAACCAACUGAAGGUGUCCACUGCAAAAGACAUUGGUAGUAAAACUAAAAUUAUCACUGACUUGGUUGCAAAACUUGCCUUGGAAAGAGAACGGCUUCAUGUACAGGUACUUGCGUUCUUAUUCAGGAUAGUUUAUUAUGUCACUUCUUUUCUGCUGUGUAUUGGUGUAUGUAGAUGUUAUAGAAAGCAGCUUUACGGAUAUUUUGGGUUGUUGCUUUGAAUCUUUGACUUUGUGUACUGAAUGAGUUACACUACACACUACUCAGUCUCUCCAGGUUGCUUGUGUGAAAAACACAAACAUGGAAAGGAUAGAAGUUGAAUGAUGCUAUAAUGUUCCUAAUGCGUUUGGUAUGAAAUCAUUAUAGGUCAGACUGAACCAAACGGUUGGCAUAUAACAAUUGUUUUCACUUUAUUUCAUCUAAUGCAGAAGAAAAAUAAUUAUUUGCCAUCUUAUGAAUUGAAUUAUGGUUGAUAUGUAGCCGUGCAAUCAUAUCCUAUUGUUCUCCAGCAUCUGUUUCACUUUGACGCCCAUUUCCUUCUCUUUUGCUCUGAAAUUUUUCCUGCUGAUUUCCUAACCUUUUGGCAUAAGAUAUUGCAAUGGACCUUUAAAUUUUGUUGGGUAUUGAAUUGCAUCCUCUAUUGUUUAUGCUGUGGCGAUAUCUAGCAUGAGAAUCGGUGUAAAUAUCUUAGGCAGUUUUUUAACCCCUCCCUGAUUUCUGUGCGGUACAGAUUGUUACACUGACAAAAAAGAACAGUAUGUUAGCUCAAAAAUGCAAAGAAAAUGUUGACAAAGCUUCGUUGAGCAAAGAAGCUACUGAUGUUGCCAAAGGUGAAAUCAGGCCCAGUAAAGCUACGGAGGAAGCGGCUCUAACUUCUUCACCAACACAAACCAAGGUUGGUUCCACUUGAACUCGAAGUGUAUUAUUUUUGUUACGGAACAUGUCGAAGCUGCAAAUGUCUUGUGUUUUCGCACUGCUAUUGGGAAAUAAACAUUUAUUUGGUGCAUCUGAAUUUGGCAAAUAAUAAUAAUAACAAUAAUUUAUCUCCUUGUUGGUGUAUCACCUACCCUAACUGCCUUGUCUGUCUAUGUAUUGAAUUAAUUAAAGGUGAUACCAACUGGUAACUCUCCCCAAGAAGAGGUUGAAAUCGAUGAGGUGACUCCACUGGAAGGUGAAUCUCGUGCCGAGAGCACACUCGAGACAGUGCGGUGUAUUGAGCCGAAGCUGCUAAACUGGAAGUACAUUUUGGCUGCAGUGCUGGCCUUGGUUGCUGUCAUCCUCGUGUACCAGCUGUACCAAUCUGACGAUGGAGUUGAACAAUUGUUCAGGCGAUUUGUAGGGUAGGAGUAUAUAUUACUAGUUAGAUAGAAUAAGGGGGUGUUUGGAUAGCAGGUGCUAAAUUUUAGCACCUGUCACAUCGGAUGUUUGGACACUAAUUAGGAGUAUUAAACAUAAUUAAGAAGGUAAUAGAGAGCUAAUUGGGUAUGNNNNNNNNNNNNNNNNNNNNNNNNNNNNNNNNNNNNNNNNNNNNNNNNNNNNNNNNNNNNNNNNNNNNNNNNNNNNNNNNNNNNNNNNNNNNNNNNNNNNGCAAUUAGUUUUGUAAUUAGACUAUGUUUAAUACUCCUAAUUAGUGUCAAACAUCCGAUGUGACAUGUGCUAAAAUUUAGCACAUGCCUCCCAAACACCCCAUAAGACAUGAGGUUGAGGUAUCUUGUAAUAAUAAUAUAUUGAUCGUUUCUCGAUUGUUGGGGAGGCAAUUUUGGUAGUGCUGUAACUGUUGCGACUUGCAAAGUGUUGAAGCUUUAAUAGAUGAUGACCUCUGUAGCAUUAUAUAGCUCUCCUUUUAUACCACGGCUACGGAUUACUUCAUAUCAGGCAUGUCUCUCAAAGUUGCCCAACCCUAGCUGACGCUGGCACAUCCAGAUCCAGCCAGGGAAUCUCAUUGUUUUGGGAAUCGCCAGAUCCUAUUUAUUGGGAUUGGGUUGUAUGCACGUCAGGAUUUGGAAAGAUACGGCCGGUUAACAGGGGCGGCGACGAUCUCACAAGAAGCUCGGAUGAGGAGCAGCAGAUUGGUUAUCAUCUCACAAGCUCCAACAAGAUGCAAAAGACCUGCGAGGAAGAGACUGACGGCUGCUUCAGGUAUUGAGGACUGCUUCGAUGAUCAGGAUCCCUGUGUCGUUCAUUCAUUCAUUCAUUACUUGUUUUGCCUAUUCAUUCAUUCAUUUACGACCGCUGUGGUAGUUCUGUGUUCUUCAAUCGCAUAAUUCUUGCUUUUGCUUUAUUGUCAUCUUAGAUUCAAGUGUGCGAUGCAUCCAAUACUGUUGCCACAGGGUUCUUGGAACAAGAUUAUGUAAGUCGUGGAAUGACUCUUGUCAAUGUCAAACAAUCCCUUGAUGUUCGUGUGAUUCAUCUUCAUGAUGAGGUGGAAAUUCUACCUGGCAGUAACCUAGUAGGCAUAGAGCUUACUGGAGUCUGGCAAACAAUUGCCCGCAAGAGGAAUCAUGACUAAAGAUUCAUUCACUUCUGAAGAUGGCAUAGACCUUUCGUGCUCCAAUUGUGUUGUGUCUAAGGUAUGCUGUUGGUGUCUGUCUUAGUUCUCUAUGUGGUUGUGCUGUAAAUAAUUAGCUGCAUCAUGAUAUAAGUGGUUCUUUUUGUGCUAGGCUGGUGAUGGUGGCCCACUUUUUGAUGGUGAUGGGAAGUUUGUUGGAAUGAACCUUGUUUUGGGUAAUACAAGAGGCCCGUUCAUGCAAGGGAGCAUCGUUAUUGAAAAAUUGGAGCAGUUUGAGAAUACUAUCCAAUUGCUUGCAAGCAGGAUAUCUCGGUAUGUCUUGUGUAUUUCCAGAAUAUAUCAGCCGUGGCUUAUUCAAUGUGUUCACUGUUUCUGUGUGGUGGUAGCUGUUAGCCAUGGGAGGAGGAUGCCCAAUUUAUUGUUGUUUUUUUAUUUUUGCAUUUGUUAUUUCUUUGAAAGUUUUGAAUGUUUAUCACUCAUUGACUACUUGAUUUCCUUUUUCGGUUUAACGUUGAAGCCAGCAUUCUUGUCUAAUUGAAAGAAACUAAAAUUUCAUUCAGGCUAAAAUAUAGAAAAUGGAACUCGAAUCUGUAACAUCUCACAUAGCAUGCAUCUAUGAUCUAGUCAUAUUUCCUGUCUUCUAUGCAAUUAUUUUCAUAACAGUGUUUCAGAGAUUCAUGUUUUGGCCAUGUUAUUUGUAUUCUUUUGUGGAUUAUAAUGAUUUCACUAUGUUCUGCUGCAGGGUUAGAAGAAUUAGUGCACCUAGGUUUAAACUUCUACAUGGUGAGCACAUAACAUUUUCUUAUCAUUAUACUCUUUGAGACCACCAAGUAUAUAACCUUUCAAAGGAAUAAUAUUUGUAGUCCGUCACAAGUAGUACAAGUUUAGUUUAUUCUUCUUAUCAUUGUAUUCUCAUGACAAGGAUACUACUGCAGGGUCAAGUGCUAAUCCGUUAACCUUAAUAUAUUAUUUCAUGAUGCGUUCAACCAAAGUGACCCAUCCUUGCAUGCAGAGGUUUAGAUGAGUCGAAUUUAUCAUGACUAUUAUAUCAAUGAUAGCAUAUGACCUGUGCUUGUUGAACUAGGGAAUCAACAUUCUAAACAGGAAGAUUAUCUAGACUCCUUGGGCUACCCGAAGCGAUCAAUAUCUGCGGUUGAUUGUAAGUCAAAUAUUUUGAUUUUAUUGACUUCCUGAAUGUAGCACUUUUGUUAAAGGUCAGGCACUAACUACUUUUGAACAUGUAUCUUCAACCAGGUGGCAUGGUUUUGGUUAAUUCUUUUGAAGAGACUUUUGGUGACACAUAUGAUUCUAGUAAAGGUGUCUGGGGUGCACUCUGUGAAACAAUCUCGAAAGAUUUAUCUCAAAGUGUUGUCUCCCUUGCUUCAUACAAUGGUGAGUUAACAGUAGCAUGCUCUUCGCUUUCCCGUAUUUGUAUGCGGCCAUGAUUAAUUAAUAAUCAAAAUUUAUGCAGGAGAAACAAGGUUUUUUGCUUGUUCAGGCAUAAUUACAAAAUGGAAUGGAUGCACCACUAUUCUGACUUCAGCGAGCUUGGUUAGAAAUCGUCGUGAUGAAAGCAAGAUCCAUGAAAACCUCAGGGUUGGUGCUCUUAUUCGUGUGUACUAGUUGUCCCUUUAAGAUAUUGCUUAACUCUCACUGUCAUUUGCAGAUUGAUGUGUUGCUUUCAGACAAACAGCACACUGAAGGGACAUUGCAACAUUGCCACUUGCACUAUAAUGUCGCUAUUGUCAGUUUCAAGGCAAACACUUCUGUAGCAGCAGAUAUUUAUAGUCCAAGGUCAUAUAGGUAUUCCGGCGAAGUGGUAGCGUCGGGCGUGUCUUUGAAUCAGGCAUGUUAAUGGCGACAAGAGAGGAUCACUGACUCGACGGCGUUCGGAGAGAAGAUUUGAUUGCAUUAAUUUGGUUUACUCCAGUUGUGAGAUCACUAAGGUACACUGCUCAAUUUUCUUGUGUUUUACAUGGUGCAAGUGGUGUGUAGUUUUCGUGCCUUCUACAUACUGCAAGCAAUAAUAGUUAUUCUUGUUGUUGUUGUUGUUAGGCUGGGAUUGGAGGACCUCUUGUUAAUUUUGAUGGGAAAUUUGUUGGUACGAACUUCUAUGAUGUGAAAGAAGGAACUCCGUACCUACCACAAUCCAGCAUUCUUGAAGUUCUGGAUUAUUUCGAGAAGAAAAGGUAUUUGGUUAUUUUCCUGGUUUUGUAAUUGCUUGCAUGUGAAAUGUUUGCAUGUUCUGAGAAGAAGUUUCGUCUUAAUAAUCUGUUCUUUCUUUUGAUGUUGGAUAGGAUUGUUGCUGAAGCUGAUGAUGAUGGUUUUAUAAAUAGGUACGUUUUUUGUUUCAGUCAUCUUGGGGGAAAGACAGCUCUUGUUUGAUUUCAUCUCUAGUCUACAUAGCUUUGAACUGAAGACCUUGAUUGUUGUCGUUGACAGGUGGCCUGUGCCCAAGCCAUUUUGGCGCCAUCUCGAUGAGCAUCAUCAGAAUGAGGACAAAGAAGGGCACAGUUGAUGUACAUGUACCCGGGAGCUCUUUGGCCAAGCUGAUCGACCACCAAUAGAUAUCCCAGUCAAGC
This 5679-nucleotide long non-coding RNA is filed under the name Setaria italica (foxtail millet). RNAcentral's name for it is "long non-coding RNA (SITA_LNC003355)". Lineage: Eukaryota; Viridiplantae; Streptophyta; Magnoliopsida; Poales; Poaceae. The record is from RNAcentral.